CAGACUGUUGAGUAUGACUGGAAACCUACCUUUUGUAACCAUUGCCUCAAGUUUGGUCAUGAGACAAUUGAUUGUUGGUACUAUGCUGACAAUCCAGAAAAGCAAAAGGAGGAACAGGGGGACAUAAGGAAUCUGAAAGCCAGAGAUAAACAGCAGGGGAAACAAAUGAAGAAGGAAUGGAUUGUAAAGAAGAAUAUGACCAAUGAUGAAGUUCACAAGCAACAAG
This 226-nucleotide long non-coding RNA is filed under the name Nicotiana benthamiana. RNAcentral's name for it is "long non-coding RNA (NBEN_LNC026910)". The record is from RNAcentral. Lineage: Eukaryota; Viridiplantae; Streptophyta; Magnoliopsida; Solanales; Solanaceae.